This 434-nucleotide ribosomal RNA is filed under the name uncultured Lachnospiraceae bacterium. RNAcentral describes it as "partial 16S ribosomal RNA". It matches the Rfam family "Bacterial small subunit ribosomal RNA", at positions 341 to 792 of the family's 1533-position model. The record is from RNAcentral. Lineage: Bacteria; Bacillati; Bacillota; Clostridia; Lachnospirales; Lachnospiraceae.
ACGGGAGGCAGCAGUGGGGAAUAUUGGACAAUGGGGGAGACCCUGAUCCAGCGACGCCGCGUGAGUGAAGAAGUAUUUCGGUAUGUAAAGCUCUAUCAGCAGGGAAGAAAAUGACGGUACCUGACUAAGAAGCCCCGGCUAACUACGUGCCAGCAGCCGCGGUAAUACGUAGGGGGCAAGCGUUAUCCGGAUUUACUGGGUGUAAAGGGAGCGUAGACGGCAACACAAGUCUGAAGUGGAAGCCCGCGGCUUAACUGCGGAACUGCUUUGGAAACUGUGCAGCUAGAGUGUCGGAGAGGUGAGUGGAAUUCCCAGUGUAGCGGUGAAAUGCGUAGAUAUUGGGAGGAACGCCGAUGGCGAAGGCGGCUCACUGGACGAUAACUGACGUUGAUGCUCGAAAGCGUGGGGAGCAAACAGGAUUAGAUACCCUGGUA